GGCCAGCAGCGCUCCGUCGCGCGGCACGAACACCUUCUGGUUGUUGGAGCGCAUUCGGCUCUGAAUGGUGAACAGCAGCACCUCCAGGUGACCCUUCUCGGUGAACCUGGGGGAGAGAAAGCACCGUAUGGCACCGUGUGGCACCACUACGGCACUGUGUGCCACUGCUAUGGCACCGCAGGGCACCAACAUGGCACCGUAUGGCACUGAGUAUGGCCACGGUGUUGAAGGCCUGCAGUUGGCUCUGCACCCCGC
This 255-nucleotide long non-coding RNA is filed under the name Gallus gallus (chicken). Lineage: Eukaryota; Metazoa; Chordata; Aves; Galliformes; Phasianidae. The record is from RNAcentral.